This 177-nucleotide ribosomal RNA is filed under the name uncultured bacterium. RNAcentral's name for it is "partial 16S ribosomal RNA". It matches the Rfam family "Bacterial small subunit ribosomal RNA", at positions 329 to 523 of the family's 1533-position model. The record is from RNAcentral.
CGGCAGAUUACGGGAGGCGACAGUAGGGAAUCUUGCGCAAUGGGCGAAAGCCUGACGCAGCGACGCCCCGUGUAGGGAUGAAGGCCUUUGGGUCGUAAACCUCUGUCGGAGGGGAAGAAAUUUUGACGGUACCCUCCAAGGAAGCCCCGGCUAACUACGUGCCAGCAGCCGCGGUAA